Transfer RNA from Camelus ferus (Wild Bactrian camel), 72 nucleotides. It matches the Rfam family "tRNA". From Rfam's summary of the family: Transfer RNA (tRNA) molecules are approximately 80 nucleotides in length. Lineage: Eukaryota; Metazoa; Chordata; Mammalia; Artiodactyla; Camelidae. The record is from Rfam.
GAAGGUAUAGCUCAGUGGUAGAGUGCUUGCUUAUCAUACACAAGGUCCUGGGUUCAAUCCCCAGUACCUCUA